CAGCCAUGCAAUGAGCACAAAGCGAACUAUUCUUUCGCCUUUUACUAAAGAAUACCGUAAUUUGUUCAUGUUCUAACUGGGGCUGAUUUACCUGUCCAAAUGCUUGUUUCAGUUCCUGAUCUUAUACUAA
This 130-nucleotide small nuclear RNA is filed under the name Helianthus annuus (common sunflower). RNAcentral describes it as "sRNA HanXRQr2_Chr02g0051301". The stretch from base 19 to 58 matches the Rfam family "U5 spliceosomal RNA", at positions 19 to 58 of the family's 117-position model. Lineage: Eukaryota; Viridiplantae; Streptophyta; Magnoliopsida; Asterales; Asteraceae. The record is from Rfam by way of RNAcentral.